GUGAGUAGUUCAGAGUUUGAUCCUGGCUCAGGACGAACGCUGGCGGCGUGCCUAACACAUGCAAGUCAACGGGGUGAUUCCUUCGGGGAUCACUUAGUGGCGAACGGGUGAGUAACGCGUGAGAAACCUGCCUUCCAGUGGGGGACAACAGUUAGAAAUGACUGCUAAUACCGCAUAAUGUUUUCGAGGGGCAUCCCUUGAAAACCAAAGCUUUAUGUGCUGGAAGAUGGUCUCGCGUCUGAUUAGCUAGAUGGCGGGGUAACGGCCCACCAUGGCGACGAUCAGUAGCCGGUCUGAGAGGAUGAACGGCCACAUUGGGACUGAGAUACGGCCCAG
RNAcentral lists this ribosomal RNA (336 nucleotides) under uncultured bacterium. Its description in RNAcentral is "bacterial SSU rRNA". It matches the Rfam family "Bacterial small subunit ribosomal RNA", at positions 1 to 334 of the family's 1533-position model. The record is from RNAcentral.